RNAcentral lists this ribosomal RNA (468 nucleotides) under uncultured bacterium. RNAcentral's name for it is "partial 16S ribosomal RNA". It matches the Rfam family "Bacterial small subunit ribosomal RNA", at positions 28 to 507 of the family's 1533-position model. The record is from RNAcentral.
GACGAACGCUGGCGGCGUGCUUAACACAUGCAAGUCGAACGGAAAGGCCCUGCUUUUGUGGGGUGCUCGAGUGGCGAACGGGUGAGUAACACGUGAGUAACCUGCCCUUGACUUUGGGAUAACUUCAGGAAACUGGGGCUAAUACCGGAUAGGAGCUCCUGUUGCAUGGUGGGGGUUGGAAAGUUUCGGCGGUUGGGGAUGGACUCGCGGCUUAUCAGCUUGUUGGUGGGGUAGUGGCUUACCAAGGCUUUGACGGGUAGCCGGCCUGAGAGGGUGACCGGCCACAUUGGGACUGAGAUACGGCCCAGACUCCUACGGGAGGCAGCAGUGGGGAAUAUUGCACAAUGGGCGGAAGCCUGAUGCAGCAACGCCGCGUGCGGGAUGACGGCCUUCGGGUUGUAAACCGCUUUCGCCUGUGACGAAGCGUGAGUGACGGUAAUGGGUAAAGAAGCACCGGCUAACUACGUA